CUUGAUGAGUAAAAUAUUAAGUCUAACCUGCCCUAUGAAAAUUUAAAUGGCCGCAGUAUUUUGACUGUGCAAAGGUAGCAUAAUCAUUUGUUUUUUAAUUGAAAGCUAGAAUGAAAGGUUGAAUGAAAAAAUAACUGUCUUUAUAUAAUUAUUAUAAUUUUAUUUUUAAGUUAAAAAGCUUAAAUUUAAUUUGAAGACGAGAAGACCCUAUAGAGUUUAAUAAUUAAUUUAUUUYAUAAUUUGGUAUUUAUUGGUAUUGAUUAAUUAAAUUUAUUUAAUUGGGGUGAUUGAAAAAUUUAAUUAACUUUUUUUUUAUAAAAACAUAAAUUAAUGGAAAAAUGAUCCUUAAUAAAGAUUAGAAGAUAAAAUUACCUUAGGGAUAACAGCGUAAUUUUUUUAAAGAGUUCAAAUCGAAAAAAAAGAUUGCGACCUCGAUGUUGGAUUAAAAUAAAAAUUUGGUGUAGAAGCUGAA
This 472-nucleotide ribosomal RNA is filed under the name Exapion fuscirostre. RNAcentral describes it as "partial 16S ribosomal RNA". The record is from RNAcentral. Lineage: Eukaryota; Metazoa; Arthropoda; Insecta; Coleoptera; Brentidae.